RNAcentral lists this long non-coding RNA (256 nucleotides) under Manihot esculenta (cassava). Its description in RNAcentral is "long non-coding RNA (MESC_LNC004688)". Lineage: Eukaryota; Viridiplantae; Streptophyta; Magnoliopsida; Malpighiales; Euphorbiaceae. The record is from RNAcentral.
UUUCAAUCUUAAAAUGAUAACUAAAAAUCAUUAGAUAACUUGUUCAUCAUAGCUGAGAUUAAUCUAUUGACUCAUCAAUAGGCAUGUUACUCCUACUUGGACCAAAUUCUUUGACAAGACUUACUUUAGAAAGCAAUUAUGAAAUUAAUAACCAUAUAUAUUUGUAUCCAAAUUGCUCCCACUCGGAAGUAUAUCCAUCAAACUUUUUAUAGCGAAAGCAGCCUUGUCGCAAGUUUAAUUUAGAGGUAAGACUUAU